RNAcentral lists this ribosomal RNA (380 nucleotides) under uncultured eukaryote. RNAcentral describes it as "partial 18S ribosomal RNA". It matches the Rfam family "Eukaryotic small subunit ribosomal RNA", at positions 592 to 976 of the family's 1831-position model. The record is from RNAcentral.
CAAUAGCGUAUAUUAAAGUUGUUGCAGUUAGAACGCUCGUAGUCGGAUUUCGGGGCGGGCCGACCGGUCUGCCGAUGGGUAUGCACUGGUCGGCGCGUCCUUCCUUCCGGAGCCCGUCCCUACUCUUAACUGAGCGGGGGCGGGAGACGGGACUUUUACUUUGAAAAAAUCAGAGUGUUUCAAGCAGGCAGCUCGCUCUUGCAUGGAUUAGCAUGGGAUAAUGAAAUAGGACUUUGGUGCUAUUUUGUUGGUUUCGAACACCGAAGUAAUGAUGAGAAGGGACAGUCAGGGGCACUCGUAUUCCGCCGAGAGAGGUGAAAUUCUCAGACCAGCGGAAGACGAACCACUGCGAAAGCAUUUGCCAGGGAUGUUUUCACUGA